GCCUGGUUAGCUCAGUUGGUUAGAGCGUGGUGCUAAUAAUGCCAAGGUCACGGGUUCAAUUCCUGCUCACUGCA
This is a non-coding RNA of Pelecanus crispus (Dalmatian pelican), 74 nucleotides long. NCBI's taxonomy places the organism in Eukaryota, Metazoa, Chordata, Aves, Pelecaniformes, Pelecanidae. The record is from Rfam.